This is a non-coding RNA of Punica granatum (pomegranate), 512 nucleotides long. Lineage: Eukaryota; Viridiplantae; Streptophyta; Magnoliopsida; Myrtales; Lythraceae. The record is from RefSeq and is a predicted model, not a curated record.
UGUUCUCCAGCACCAAAUGUUUUGUGUAGCAACAGUUAAUGAAUUCCAAAUAAUGAUUGCUGAUUUAAAAUUCACAAUGUAGUGUUAAAGAAAUCCUCUUGCGGCCCCUUUUUUGUGUUCUCAUACUCUUUGUUUCUGAUUAUUAACCUUCUCUUAAUUUCACUUUGUGGCCACUGAUAUGAGCUGUAUAAAUAUUGUAAUUAACAGAACAACAAUUGAAAUUUGAGAAGAGAUGAUUUUUGAGUGGAGGACCCAUGGGCCUUGUUAGAUGACAGGGGAUCAUGGUGUGGGGGGAUCGAAACCUAGGGGUGGAAAAAAGAGGAAAUCCCCAUUUCCCUUGACGACAAGUGCCUUUUAUGUAGUGAACAUAUAUAAUAGAAAAUAUAUAUUUGUAAUUAGUGAUUUUUUUAUGUGUAGCUGAAAGUUAAAUAUUGAUAGAGUAGCUGUUGUUUGAAAGGAAACAUCGGACUCCCGAUUUACGGAGGUUUUUAAUGAACUCUUAUUUGAUUGGA